UCGAGCGAGCGGAACUAACAGAUUUACUUCGGUAAUGACGUUAGGAAAGCGAGCGGCGGAUGGGUGAGUAACACGUGGGGAACCUGCCCCAUAGUCUGGGAUACCACUUGGAAACAGGUGCUAAUACCGGAUAAGAAAGCAGAUCGCAUGAUCAGCUUUUAAAAGGCGGCGUAAGCUGUCGCUAUGGGAUGGCCCCGCGGUGCAUUAGCUAGUUGGUAAGGUAAAGGCUUACCAAGGCGAUGAUGCAUAGCCGAGUUGAGAGACUGAUCGGCCACAUUGGGACUGAGACACGGCCCAAACUCCUACGGGAGGCAGCAGUAGGGAAUCUUCCACAAUGGACGCAAGUCUGAUGGAGCAACGCCGCGUGAGUGAAGAAGGUUUUCGGAUCGUAAAGCUCUGUUGUUGGUGAAGAAGGAUAGAGGUAGUAACUGGCCUUUAUUUGACGGUAAUCAACCAGAAAGUCACGGCUAACUACGUGCCAGCAGCCGCGGUAAUACGUAGGUGGCAAGCGUUGUCCGGAUUUAUUGGGCGUAAAGCGAGCGCAGGCGGAAGAAUAAGUCUGAUGUGAAAGCCCUCGGCUUAACCGAGGAACUGCAUCGGAAACUGUUUUCCUUGAGUGCAGAAGAGGAGAGUGGAACUCCAUGUGUAGCGGUGGAAUGCGUAGAUAUAUGGAAGAACACCAGUGGCGAAGGCGGCUCUCUGGUCUGCAACUGACGCUGAGGCUCGAAAGCAUGGGUAGUGAACAGGAUUAGAUACCCUGGUAGUCCAUGCCGUAAACGAUGAGUGCUAAG
RNAcentral lists this ribosomal RNA (791 nucleotides) under uncultured bacterium. Its description in RNAcentral is "bacterial SSU rRNA". It matches the Rfam family "Bacterial small subunit ribosomal RNA", at positions 62 to 820 of the family's 1533-position model. The record is from RNAcentral.